Molecule: small RNA, 147 nt
Filed under: Manganibacter manganicus
Lineage: Bacteria; Pseudomonadati; Pseudomonadota; Alphaproteobacteria; Hyphomicrobiales; Phyllobacteriaceae
Description: Pseudaminobacter manganicus Alphaproteobacterial sRNA ar9
Rfam family: Alphaproteobacterial sRNA ar9
Source: Rfam by way of RNAcentral
AUAACUGAGAAAGUGGAGAACAAUCUACUUUCCCCACGCGAUCAAGUCUUGGGAGGAUGCGAUCCAGGCGCGGUAAUUCGCUGCCGCCGGAAACGGAUAACGGGUCGGGCGCGUUUAAUUGCAAGGCUUCGUGCCUUGCAUUUUUUU